Molecule: long non-coding RNA, 513 nt
Filed under: Homo sapiens (human)
Lineage: Eukaryota; Metazoa; Chordata; Mammalia; Primates; Hominidae
Description: HSALNT0338039
Source: RNAcentral
UAGGCGACUGCUGGGUCAAAAGCAAGCUUUAGGGAUGGCGUCCACGAGACCCCAAACAGGUUUUUCCUCAUUAAAAACCCUGGACUUCAAAGAGGUAAAGAAAAAAAAAAAAGCCCAAAGUCAGCAGAUCGUAAAACGCAUAAAACUCAUAUAACUCGACACCCCGAGUCCAAAGGGGCUGUUGCGGCAGGCUCCCCGGUGCCCACGUCACCAAUCGCCUCUGAGAGCCUCGCACCCGGCGCUGGGCGAGACCGCAGGGCAGCGCGGGGCGCUCUCGAUACCGAGGGGACGACGGGGCGGGGCCUUUCCGGCAGGAGAGGCUGCCCGGGAGGCGGCGGGACUCCGUGCGGGCGGCCACCCUACGCCGGGGAAGGGCCGCAGCGCCCCCGGUUCUCUCGGCCCCCCGUUCCACGUGGGCGCCAGGGACCCUGCGGCACGGCGCCGGGAGCCAGGGAUCCCCAACUUUCGGCCGGAGUGUCCGGAGAGCCAGCCAGCCCGCCCGCUCGGCCGGGG